UGCUGUGAGUCCUGUUUGUGGGAGUCUGACAUGACACUUGGCUGACACAAUAAACAUAGCGAGAGUCAAGAAACGCAACAGAACCUGCAAAAGCCAAAACACAUAAUGAUAGGCCAUCCACAGUAGCCAGUAAUAUAAAAGGUCAGUUUAUAGGGAAGUAAGAGAGAAAGAUAGAGGUGAAGAAGAGUGAAAAAGAGAGAGGGAGAGAGAGAGAGGCAGUGAGAUUGUGAAAUGAGUGUAUGAGCAUGUGUGCCUUUGUGUCCCUAUCACUCUGUGUUUGGUUCAUUCCCCAAAGGGUCUUAUUAUGCUUCGCGCUGGCUCCAACACAAAGGCAGCGUCUCUGUAUCUCAGCCCAUCCAGCUCCCCCAGAGAACAUUCGAGACACAGCAAAUCCAUUUGUUUGUCAGCUUCUGCCUCUAUUCGGACUCGGACUAAUCAGAUAUUAUUCUCUUUGAGAAGCAUACCACUGUGCAGCCUGGCCUAGCGCUACAGUAACGCUGGCCCAGCACUAAGAUAACAUCUCUAAGAGAGGACUUUUUGUACUUGUAAGCACUGUGCACCGACAUCAUAAAACAAUGUUAGAGGGUAAAUUAUAAAGGUAUCUCUCAGUGCAUCAAAUAAUCAUCUUUCUAGUAAUAAGGUCUUUACUUCUAGGAAAUAUCUUCCAUCUUAUUAACCAAUUACAGAUGAGCCUACUGGUGGGUAACUAAGUUUUUGGCCCUUGAAUUGGUUGAGGAUUAUUGGGAUAUAAGAGCACAAGGAAUACAAUAUCCUGUUUUUAAAAGCAGCCAUAUAAUCCAAGCCCAAGAGCAUGACACAGAUGGAAACCGAUGGCAGAUUACAUAUCUUGACAGUGCAGAGAAUAAAUUGCUUUUAAAGAAUGAGAGAGACACUACUGAAUACAGAAGACACUGCACCAGUGAUGGCGCAAGUAUACACCAAAUCCAUAUCUAUUGAUUGCACGGUCACAAGGUAGCCUCAUUUCUAUUGUCGGAUUUUAAAGAGGACCUAUUGUGCUUUUUCCCUUUCCUUUAGUGUGUUAAAUAGUAUUUUGUGCAUUUAAAAGGUCUGCAAAGUUACAAAGCCCAAAGUCCACGACAAACGGAGUUACUCUCGCCCACAGAAACAUUGCUCCUGAACUGCCUGAAACGCCUUGCUUGAAGUCCAGUCUUUUCUUCCGUAAUGUGGUGAUGUCACCAAGUAACACAUUUGCAUAAUACCUGCCUAGCGGAUAGUUUGG
Molecule: long non-coding RNA, 1240 nt
Organism: Sebastes umbrosus (honeycomb rockfish)
Lineage: Eukaryota; Metazoa; Chordata; Actinopteri; Perciformes; Sebastidae
Exons: 3
Source: RefSeq, a predicted model, not a curated record